ACUUGGCUUGCUGACCUCCAGCAUCCUAUUUCUUGCAGUAGUGAGAAAGGUCUUUGCAUUUGAAAGAACUCUGUGCUUACAUAGAACACAUAUGACAAGGUCCAGCCGCAGUUUAUAAAUCUGUCAGUGCUGCAUAAUAGAGACUGUCUUAUUUCCAUCUGCCAAGACUUGAGCAGGGCUGUGCAUGAAUUGAGGUGUUACUCAAUGUAUUUGGAAAACUUUAAACUGAAAUAUUGAAAUGGAAUUUAGCAAAAUUUGAACAGCUGAGCAGGAUCACAGCUUUAGCCUUGGGUGUCUGUGUGUUCUGUGCAAGUCCCAGUUUUGCUGCUGGUUCAUUUGAACAUCCAUUCUCCAAAUCAAGCUCACAAAGUUUGACGCAACAAUCAAACUAACAGCUCAAUGAACAACUGUAAGUAUUUAAAAAAAUCAAAACUUGAGAAGAAGUUCCUUCCCUGAUAUCUUCCCAUUAAAGGUCUGGAUCAACAACUGACAUCUGCUACCUUUCUAUAAAUCUAGAGAUGAUACCUGUAUUCCAGCAGAGCAGUUCAGGAUUUAUACCAACUUCAAUGAGAGCUAAUUUGGCCUUCUAAAUAUGUAAUUGUUCUUAGCCAAAAAAAACCAAACAAAAAACUAUUAAUCCCUCAGAGCAGCCAGUGAUUGUGGCAUUUUAACAGUAACAGCCAGUAUGAUGGAGUGUUUUCAGUGCUUA
RNAcentral lists this long non-coding RNA (709 nucleotides) under Taeniopygia guttata (zebra finch). RNAcentral describes it as "lncRNA (ENSTGUG00000023329.1)". Lineage: Eukaryota; Metazoa; Chordata; Aves; Passeriformes; Estrildidae. The record is from RNAcentral.